AGCAGCCGCGGUAAUUCCAGCUCCAAUAGUGUAUAUUAAAGUUGUUGCAGUUAAAAAGCUCGUAGUUGAAUUUCGGGAUCAAUGCGUCGGUCGUGCUUUUUGGUACGUACUGGUGUCAUUGGUUUCUCCUUUCUGACGAGCCGUGAUGUCAUUAAUUUGGUGUUGCGGGUAGUUAGGACUGUUACUUUGAAAAAAUUAGAGUGUUUAAAGCAGGCAUUAGCUUGAAUACAUUAGCAUGGAAUAAUGAAAUAGGACGUUCGAUCCUAUUUUGUUGGUUUCUAGGAUCAACGUAAUGAUUAAUAGGGAUAGUUGGGGGCAUUAGUAUUCAAUUGUCAGAGGUGAAAUUCUUGGAUUUAUUGAAGACUAACUACUGCGAAAGCAUUUGCCAAGGAUGUUUUCAUUAAUCAAGAACGAAAGUUAGGGGAUCGAAGACGAUCAGAUACCGUCGUAGUCUUAACCAUAAACUAUGCCGACUAGGGAUCGGAUGAUGUUAAUUUUUUAAUGACUCAUUCGGCGCCUUACG
RNAcentral lists this ribosomal RNA (523 nucleotides) under uncultured Glomus. Its description in RNAcentral is "SSU rRNA". It matches the Rfam family "Eukaryotic small subunit ribosomal RNA", at positions 569 to 1092 of the family's 1831-position model. The record is from RNAcentral. Lineage: Eukaryota; Fungi; Glomeromycota; Glomeromycetes; Glomerales; Glomeraceae.